This 2057-nucleotide ribosomal RNA is filed under the name Escherichia coli. Its description in RNAcentral is "bacterial LSU rRNA". It matches the Rfam family "Bacterial large subunit ribosomal RNA", at positions 890 to 2925 of the family's 2925-position model. Lineage: Bacteria; Pseudomonadati; Pseudomonadota; Gammaproteobacteria; Enterobacterales; Enterobacteriaceae. The record is from RNAcentral.
UCAUCUCCGGGGGUAGAGCACUGUUUCGGCAAGGGGGGCAUCCCGACUUACCAACCCGAUGCAAACUGCGAAUACCGGAGAAUGUUAUCACGGGAGACACACGGCGGGUGCUAACGUCCGUCGUGAAGAGGGAAACAACCCAGACCGCCAGCUAAGGUCCCAAAGUCAUGGUUAAGUGGGAAACGAUGUGGGAAGGCCCAGACAGCCAGGAUGUUGGCUUAGAAGCAGCCAUCAUUUAAAGAAAGCGUAAUAGCUCACUGGUCGAGUCGGCCUGCGCGGAAGAUGUAACGGGGCUAAACCAUGCACCGAAGCUGCGGCAGCGACACUAUGUGUUGUUGGGUAGGGGAGCGUUCUGUAAGCCUGUGAAGGUGUGCUGUGAGGCAUGCUGGAGGUAUCAGAAGUGCGAAUGCUGACAUAAGUAACGAUAAAGCGGGUGAAAAGCCCGCUCGCCGGAAGACCAAGGGUUCCUGUCCAACGUUAAUCGGGGCAGGGUGAGUCGACCCCUAAGGCGAGGCCGAAAGGCGUAGUCGAUGGGAAACAGGUUAAUAUUCCUGUACUUGGUGUUACUGCGAAGGGGGGACGGAGAAGGCUAUGUUGGCCGGGCGACGGUUGUCCCGGUUUAAGCGUGUAGGCUGGUUUUCCAGGCAAAUCCGGAAAAUCAAGGCUGAGGCGUGAUGACGAGGCACUACGGUGCUGAAGCAACAAAUGCCCUGCUUCCAGGAAAAGCCUCUAAGCAUCAGGUAACAUCAAAUCGUACCCCAAACCGACACAGGUGGUCAGGUAGAGAAUACCAAGGCGCUUGAGAGAACUCGGGUGAAGGAACUAGGCAAAAUGGUGCCGUAACUUCGGGAGAAGGCACGCUGAUAUGUAGGUGAAGUCCCUCGCGGAUGGAGCUGAAAUCAGUCGAAGAUACCAGCUGGCUGCAACUGUUUAUUAAAAACACAGCACUGUGCAAACACGAAAGUGGACGUAUACGGUGUGACGCCUGCCCGGUGCCGGAAGGUUAAUUGAUGGGGUCAGCGCAAGCGAAGCUCUUGAUCGAAGCCCCGGUAAACGGCGGCCGUAACUAUAACGGUCCUAAGGUAGCGAAAUUCCUUGUCGGGUAAGUUCCGACCUGCACGAAUGGCGUAAUGAUGGCCAGGCUGUCUCCACCCGAGACUCAGUGAAAUUGAACUCGCUGUGAAGAUGCAGUGUACCCGCGGCAAGACGGAAAGACCCCGUGAACCUUUACUAUAGCUUGACACUGAACAUUGAGCCUUGAUGUGUAGGAUAGGUGGGAGGCUUUGAAGUGUGGACGCCAGUCUGCAUGGAGCCGACCUUGAAAUACCACCCUUUAAUGUUUGAUGUUCUAACGUUGACCCGUAAUCCGGGUUGCGGACAGUGUCUGGUGGGUAGUUUGACUGGGGCGGUCUCCUCCUAAAGAGUAACGGAGGAGCACGAAGGUUGGCUAAUCCUGGUCGGACAUCAGGAGGUUAGUGCAAUGGCAUAAGCCAGCUUGACUGCGAGCGUGACGGCGCGAGCAGGUGCGAAAGCAGGUCAUAGUGAUCCGGUGGUUCUGAAUGGAAGGGCCAUCGCUCAACGGAUAAAAGGUACUCCGGGGAUAACAGGCUGAUACCGCCCAAGAGUUCAUAUCGACGGCGGUGUUUGGCACCUCGAUGUCGGCUCAUCACAUCCUGGGGCUGAAGUAGGUCCCAAGGGUAUGGCUGUUCGCCAUUUAAAGUGGUACGCGAGCUGGGUUUAGAACGUCGUGAGACAGUUCGGUCCCUAUCUGCCGUGGGCGCUGGAGAACUGAGGGGGGCUGCUCCUAGUACGAGAGGACCGGAGUGGACGCAUCACUGGUGUUCGGGUUGUCAUGCCAAUGGCACUGCCCGGUAGCUAAAUGCGGAAGAGAUAAGUGCUGAAAGCAUCUAAGCACGAAACUUGCCCCGAGAUGAGUUCUCCCUGACUCCUUGAGAGUCCUGAAGGAACGUUGAAGACGACGACGUUGAUAGGCCGGGUGUGUAAGCGCAGCGAUGCGUUGAGCUAACCGGUACUAAUGAACCGUGAGGCUUAACCUU